CGGGCGGCUGCAGUGGGGAAUAUUGCGCAAUGGGCGAAAGCCUGACGCAGCGACGUCGCGUGGAGGAUGAAGGUCUUCGGAUUGUAAACUCCUUUUAGGGUGAAGAAAUGUCCGCUUUCGGGCGGAAGUGAUCGAUCCCAGAAUAAGCACUGGCUAACUCCGUGCCAGCAGCCGCGGUAAUACGGAGAGUGCGAGCGUUAUCCGGAAUCAUUAGGCGUAAAGGGAGCGUAGGCGGCUGAUCAAGUCAGGUGUGAAAGCCCACGGCUUAACCGUGUGAAGUGCAUCUGAAACUGGUCGGCUUGAGUAUCGGAGAGGAAAGUGGAAUUCCCGGUGUAGAGGUGAAAUUCGUAGAUAUCGGGAGGAAUACCGGUGGCGAAGGCGACUUUCUGGACGAAUACUGACGCUGAGGCGCGAAAGCGUGGGGAGCAAACAGGAUUAGAUACCCUUGUAGUC
This 453-nucleotide ribosomal RNA is filed under the name uncultured microorganism. RNAcentral describes it as "bacterial SSU rRNA". It matches the Rfam family "Bacterial small subunit ribosomal RNA", at positions 342 to 795 of the family's 1533-position model. The record is from RNAcentral.